This is a non-coding RNA of Salmo salar (Atlantic salmon), 78 nucleotides long. The record is from Rfam. NCBI's taxonomy places the organism in Eukaryota, Metazoa, Chordata, Actinopteri, Salmoniformes, Salmonidae.
UGGCUCAGUUGGUAUAGCAUGGUGUUUGUAACGCCAGCAUGGUGUGUGCAGUGCCAGGGUUGUGGGUUCGAUUCCCAC